GAAUUUUGCGCAAUGGGGGAAACCCUGACGCAGCAACGCCGCGUGGAGGAUGAAGGUCUUCGGAUUGUAAACUCCUGUUGCCCGGGACGAAAAGCUCCAACCUAACACGUUGGAGUCUGACGGUACCGGGUGAGGAAGCCCCGGCUAACUCUGUGCCAGCAGCCGCGGUAAUACAGAGGGGGCAAGCGUUGUUCGGAAUUACUGGGCGUAAAGGGCGCGUAGGCGGCCUUCUAAGUCGAACGUGAAAUCCCCGGGCUCAACCCGGGAACUGCGUCCGAGACUGGAAGGCUCGAAUCCGGGAGAGGGAUGUGGAAUUCCAGGUGUAGCGGUGAAAUGCGUAGAUAUCUGGAGGAACAUCGGUGGCGAAGGCGGCAUCCUGGACCGGUAUUGACGCUGAGGCGCGAAAGCCAGGGGAGCAAACGGG
This 424-nucleotide ribosomal RNA is filed under the name uncultured bacterium. Its description in RNAcentral is "bacterial SSU rRNA". It matches the Rfam family "Bacterial small subunit ribosomal RNA", at positions 359 to 776 of the family's 1533-position model. The record is from RNAcentral.